AACUAUAACGGUCCUAAGGUAGCGAAAUUCCUUGUCAGGUAAGUUCUGACCCGCAUGAAAGGCGUAAUGAUUUGGGCACUGUCUCAACAGCCCGCCCGGCGAAAUUGUAGUACCGGUGAAGAUGCCGGUUACCCGCGACAAGACGGAAAGACCCCAUGGAGCUUUACUGUAGCCUAAUAUUGGGUUUCGAUGUUGCAUGCACAGGAUAGAUGGGACACUGGGAAGCAAGUGCUUUGGCGCUUGUGGAGUGGCCGUUGGGAUACCAUCCUUGCGAUAUUGGAAUUCUAACCUGCGCCUUUGAAUCAAGGCGGGGGACAUUGUUAGGUGGGCAGUUUGACUGGGGCGGUCGCCUCCUAAAGAGUAACGGAGGCGUUCAAAGGUUCGCUCAGCUUGAACGGAAAUCAAGCAAAAGAGUGCAAACGCAGAAGCGAGCCUAACUGCGAGACUGACGGGUCGAGCAGUAACGAAAGUUGGAGUUAGUGAUCCGGUGGUAUGUGAGUGGAAAUGCCAUCGCUCAACGGAUAAAAGUUACCCUGGGGAUAACAGGCUGAUCUCCCCCAAGAGUCCACAUCGACGGGGAGGUUUGGCACCUCGAUGUCGGCUCAUCGCAUCCUGGGGCUGUAUUCGGUCCCAAGGGUUUGGCUGUUCGCCAAUUAAAGCGGUACGCGAGCUGGGUUCAGAACGUCGUGAGACAGUUCGGUCCCUAUCUGUCGUGGGCGCAGGAUAUUUGAUGGGAGCUGUUCCUAGUACGAGAGGACCGGAGCGGACGUACCUCUGGCGCACCAGUUGUUCUGCCAAGAGCAUAGCUGGGCAACUAUGUACGGAUCGGAUAAACGCUGAAAGCAUCUAAGCGUGAAGCCGACCCAAAGAUAAGAUAUCCCAUUGUUUCAAACAAGUAAGACCCCUUGAAGACUACAAGGUUGAUAGGCACGAUGUGUAAGUGGAGCGAUCCAUUCAGCAAGCGUGUACUAAUAGGUCGAGGGCUUGACCAC
RNAcentral lists this ribosomal RNA (992 nucleotides) under human gut metagenome. Its description in RNAcentral is "bacterial LSU rRNA". It matches the Rfam family "Bacterial large subunit ribosomal RNA", at positions 1938 to 2925 of the family's 2925-position model. The record is from RNAcentral.